RNAcentral lists this non-coding RNA (565 nucleotides) under Penicillium antarcticum. RNAcentral's name for it is "Archaeal large subunit ribosomal RNA". It matches the Rfam family "Bacterial large subunit ribosomal RNA", at positions 2423 to 2910 of the family's 2925-position model. The record is from Rfam by way of RNAcentral. Lineage: Eukaryota; Fungi; Ascomycota; Eurotiomycetes; Eurotiales; Aspergillaceae.
UCAGUAUAAAGCUGAAUCUUUUAUGAUAACAUAAAUUGAACAGGCUAAUUUGCGCAAGAGAGUACAAAUUGAGUGCGCGGUUUGGCACCUCGAUGUCGGCUUAGCUCAUCCUCAUGCAUGCAGAAAUCAUGAAGGGUUCGACUGUUCGUCGAUUAAAGAGCUACAUGAGCUGGGUUUAAUACGUCGUGAGACAGUAUGGUUUCUAUCUUCUAGAGGAACAUAAAGUAGAUUAAAGAUAGCCCCUUCGUACGAAAGGAGUUGGGUAUAUUGAUCUCUGGUUUACCUGUUGUUUAUGUUUUAUAUUAUAAUUUUAUUAUAAUAAUAACUAAUACUUAUACUAAGGUAUUGUUACACUGUAUAAUACGUGUGUAACUUGACCACAUAGGCAUGGCAGGAAAGCUACAUCAGUUUAAGAUAAGUGUUGAAAGCAUCUAAACGCGAAGCAAACUUUAUGAUACUUAUAAACGUAGUAGAACACUACGAGUAUAAUUGUUAUAUUUAUAACAAUUAAUAGGCUUUGGUUGUAAGAAUGAAAACAUUUUUAGAUAUAAAGUACUAAUUAUUA